UACGGGGGGGGCAAGCGUUGUUCGGAAUUACUGGGCGUAAAGGGUUCGUAGGUGGCCGACUUAGUCAGACGUGAAAUCCCUCAGCUCAACUGGGGAACUGCGUCUGAUACUGGCCGGCUUGAGUGCAGGAGAGGAACGCGGAAUUCCAGGUGUAGCGGUGAAAUGCGUAGAUAUCUGGAGGAACACCGGUGGCGAAGGCGGCGUUCUGGACUGCAACUGACACUGAGGAACGAAAGCCAGGGGAGCAAACGGG
Molecule: ribosomal RNA, 253 nt
Filed under: uncultured bacterium
Lineage: Bacteria
Description: partial 16S ribosomal RNA
Rfam family: Bacterial small subunit ribosomal RNA
Source: RNAcentral